Pelobates cultripes (western spadefoot toad) is the source of this 218-nucleotide non-coding RNA. The record is from the annotation of a GenBank genome assembly. Lineage: Eukaryota; Metazoa; Chordata; Amphibia; Anura; Pelobatidae.
GAUAAGAUUCUGUAAUCAGGCCCAAAAUAAAUGUCAGUUCCAGGCCCACUGGGCUCUUAAUCUGGCCCUGGGUGCAGGGCAUAGAUCAUUGGCUAACAUCAAUCAGCAGACACACUCAGCCAUUGAACUGGCCCUGCACAGUGGGGUUUAGUUAAAGAGAGCUAACUAACUCCUUGCAGUAGCUUCUGGCUCUCACUUCCAGCUGUUAGGAGGUAGUG